Neolamprologus brichardi is the source of this 157-nucleotide non-coding RNA. NCBI's taxonomy places the organism in Eukaryota, Metazoa, Chordata, Actinopteri, Cichliformes, Cichlidae. The record is from RefSeq and is a predicted model, not a curated record.
AGGGAGCGUAUGGAGGCGAUGGAGAAGCAGAUAGCCAGCCUGACCGGGCUGCUGCAGAGAGUACUGAGCAAAGCGCCUGAGGCAGAAAGCCCGGAGAAGAUUGAGUCAGCCAGUGACUGCUCAGGAACUGACACUGGACGAACUAUAAAAAAGAAAG